CACAACAUUCAACCUGAUCAACAUCCUCAGGAUUCCAGCAUCACCAGUCAACAGUUCUGUACAGCUGACACAGAUGAAGAGCAAAUAAACAGUAACCAAGACAGAGCUGCCACAGUACAACCGGAUCUGACAACACAGGCCACUGCCUUUGUGAUAAAUGCACGGGCCAAACAUCGCCUAUCACAGAAAGGCAUGAAUGAUAUUGUUGCUGGUGUGCAGCAGUACCAAUCAUCGCUGGUGAGCAACCUCAGGAGCCAGAUAGAGCAGGUGUUAAAGAAGCAUUCAGGAACCACAUCAGGACUCCUUCAAAAUGAAGUAAUGGAUGUCUUCAACAGUUUUGUUGACCCAUUCACGAGUGUUGCAACAACAUUUCGACAGAACA
Amphiprion ocellaris (clown anemonefish) is the source of this 382-nucleotide long non-coding RNA. RefSeq lists it as uncharacterized. The record is from RefSeq and is a predicted model, not a curated record. The transcript is spliced from 3 exons. NCBI's taxonomy places the organism in Eukaryota, Metazoa, Chordata, Actinopteri, Pomacentridae.